AUUAAGUUGAGUUUGAUGAUGGCUCUGAAUGAACGCUAUUCAAAUGCCUGACACAUGCUAAUCGUACGUUCGUAAUUAACAUAUUAGAUGUUAAUGUAUGAAAGUGGUGUACAGGUGAGUAAAUGAUGAUUUAGUUACCUUAAAGUAAGGUAUAAAAUACCUUAUAAUAAUAAAAGAAGAGUUCUGCUUUAAGAUACUAUUUAUGUCUCGGGUAGGUAGUAGUAGAGGUAAUUGCUCAACUAGCCUAAAAUCCCGUAGUCGAGUCUGAAAGGUCGAUCGAUCACAUUGGAUCUGAACAAAAUUCAAUGCGUUAAAGUACAGCAGUGAGGGAUAUUGGUCAAUAGCCGAAAGGCUGAACCAGCGAUUUGAAGGAAUGGCUCCAAGUUUUUACUUGGAGGGGGAUAGUAUUAUCAUAAAAUAAAGUAUGGUAAUAUGGGUCCAAGCUUAGGUCAAAAGCCUAGGAUUAAAAUUCUGAAUAGAAUAAUGAUUAUGACAAUUUUCUAUUUAAAUGUCUUGACAAACACAUGUGCCAGCAGUCGCGGUAAGACAUGAUAGACUAGUGUUAUUCAUCUUUAAUAGGUUUAAAGGGUACCUAGACGGAAGUUCAAGCCUGCUGAAGGGACGGAAUUUCUAGAGUUUUAUGUGAGAAGGGGAGUAUUACUGGUGGAGAGAUGAAAUUCUGUGAUACCUUUAGGACUGGUAAAGGCGAAGGCAACCUUCUAAGUAAAAACUGACGUUGAGGGACGAAGGCUUAGGUAACGAACAGGAUUAGAUACCCUAGUAGUCUUUGCAGAAAACGCUGAAUGCCAUAGGUUAGAAUUAUUUAGUCUAUAAAUGAAAGUGUAAGCAUUCCACCUCAAGAGUAAUGCGGCAACGCAGGAACUGAAAUCAUUAGACCGUUUUUUGAAACCAGUAGUGAAGUAUGUUAUUUAAUUCGAUGACCCACGAAAAAUCUUACCACAACUUGAAUAGCAAGUAAAAUAAAAUUAAUAAAUUAUUUUAUAAACUAAAUUAUCUUUUGCAUUCUUUAAUAAUAAAGAAUGUAUGAUAAUUAUGAGAAAUCAUAUAUGAUUUAUUUACGACUAGUGGGUAAUAUAAAUAAAUCAUAUAUACUUGUUACAGGUGUUGCACGGCUGUCUUAAGUUAAUGUCGUGAGAUCAUGGUUAGAUCCAACAAUUAGCGUAAGCCCUUGGUUUAUUUUAAAAAUAUAAUUUAUUAAUAUAUUUAUUAUAAAAAUGUAUUAACCAAAUAUCUUUAAGUAGUAUCUAAGUUGAAAUGUGGAUAUUAUUAUUUUAAAUAAUUUUGAAAAUUAUUAUUAAAAAAAAAAUAUUUGUUUUAUAAAUAAAUAGAUUAGUUCACUGAGACAAUGGAAAGUGAUAACCGGGAAUAAGACAAGUCAUCAUGGCCCUUCUAUUGUUAAAAAGUUAAUGUUGUGGGCUAUAGACGUGCUGCAUAUGCCUAAACAAAAGGAUGCAAAAAUGUGAAUUUUAGCUAAUCCUCAAAAUAGGAAAUAAAUUAUGGAUUGUAGUCUGAAAUUCGACUACAUGAAUAAGGAAUUACUAGUAAUCGUGUAUCACCAUGGCACGGUGAAUUUUAUCUCAGAUUGGUACUAACCACUCGUCAGGCGCCGAAAAUCGUAUGCGCAAUAAGUUUGGUAAAUAUGAAAAAAAAGUAUAGGCAAUUGAGCUUAUGUCAUUUGAGUGUUUAUCUUCGUAUGCGUGACUUUGAUUGGUGUUAAGUUUUUUGAGUGUGAGGUACUCAUUAUAGGCUUAAAAUUGAAUCAAAACUGUCAACAUCCUAAAGCUUUAUGUACAAAAUUAUGAGAGAGAGCCUCAUAAUGAAGAAAUAGUUAUAAAGAUAUCAAUCCUUUAUUAAUUAAAGGGCUUCUGAGAAGAAAAUGGACAAGACGGUGCUAAAUCGUCAGAGUAGCUUAGAACUGCUCCCGACAAAGCUAACAGACUAAACGUUUCACGUUAGAGGUAAAAGUCCUCGAGUUGUAAAUUUAACAUGAUAAAGUUAAAAUUGAAGCGAAGCCGAAAGGAAAACGAAGAUAUAGUCGGACCUAAUUUGAAAGAAUUAACCCUUGCAAGAGGGAGAGGAUAUUUUAUUUAAAUCAAAUUUAAUAUCUAUGGGAAAGGGCGCCUCAAUAUAUUUAUUUAUGAAAUAUUAAGACUUGACCACUAUGCGUUAGACGCAAAACGGAGAAGUAAGCCCCUUAAUUGCGAAAUAUGGUUCGUGUAGGGGAACUUGCACGGGAAUGAUUAUCUAU
RNAcentral lists this ribosomal RNA (2269 nucleotides) under Orbilia dorsalia. RNAcentral describes it as "SSU rRNA". The stretch from base 1 to 1675 matches the Rfam family "Bacterial small subunit ribosomal RNA". RNAcentral also lists the same sequence under 1 other name. Lineage: Eukaryota; Fungi; Ascomycota; Orbiliomycetes; Orbiliales; Orbiliaceae. The record is from RNAcentral.